This 275-nucleotide long non-coding RNA is filed under the name Lathyrus oleraceus (garden pea). RNAcentral describes it as "Pisum sativum (pea) long non-coding RNA (PSAT_LNC009169)". Lineage: Eukaryota; Viridiplantae; Streptophyta; Magnoliopsida; Fabales; Fabaceae. The record is from RNAcentral.
AACUAUGAACAUGUAGGCACCAUGACUGAAUGUGGAUAUGAAUGGAAAGCCCGAUGUUCUUAAACCAAAUAAAACAUGUCAAGUUCCAAGACUUUAAGCUCAAUCAUGCCAACCCAACCAACUGGUACUCAAUCAAGCAAUUGUAACACCUCGAAUGAAUUCUAACCAAUCAGAACCAUGACUCUUAAAUAAACAACUGAAUCAUUUAUAAUGAACCAAACGAAACAAAUGCAACCUCCCUGAAUUAGGGUUUCCACUAUGCUCCCUGAUGAAUA